This 28-nucleotide non-coding RNA is filed under the name Homo sapiens (human). Lineage: Eukaryota; Metazoa; Chordata; Mammalia; Primates; Hominidae. The record is from RNAcentral.
CAGGUGACAUGGGAAUCUGACUCAUGUU